GACGAACGCUGGCGGCGUGCCUAACACAUGCAAGUCGAGCGAAUGAAGUUCCUUCGGGAAUGGAUUUAGCGGCGGACGGGUGAGUAACACGUGGGCAACCUGCCUCAUAGAGGGGAAUAGCCUUCCGAAAGGGAGAUUAAUACCGCAUAAGAUUGUAGUAUCGCAUGAUACAGCAAUUAAAGGAGCAAUCCGCUAUGAGAUGGGCCCGCGGCGCAUUAGCUAGUUGGUGAGGUAAUGGCUCACCAAGGCGACGAUGCGUAGCCGACCUGAGAGGGUGAUCGGCCACAUUGGGACUGAGACACGGCCCAGACUCCUACGGGAGGCAGCAGUGGGGAAUAUUGCACAAUGGGGGAAACCCUGAUGCAGCAACGCCGCGUGAGUGAUGACGGCCUUCGGUUGUAAGCUCUGUCUUCAGGGACGAGUAAUGACGGUACCUGAGGAGGAAGCCACGGCUAACUACGUGCCAGCAGCCGCGGUAA
Molecule: ribosomal RNA, 479 nt
Filed under: uncultured bacterium
Lineage: Bacteria
Description: bacterial SSU rRNA
Rfam family: Bacterial small subunit ribosomal RNA
Source: RNAcentral